AUUGAACGCUGGCGGCAUGCCUUACACAUGCAAGUCGAACGGUAACGGGCCUUCGGGUGCCGACGAGUGGCGAACGGGUGAGUAAUGUAUCGGAACGUACCUUUCAGUGGGGAUAACGUAGCGAAAGUUACGCUAAUACCGCAUAUUCUGUGAGCAGGAAAGCAGGGGAUCGCAAGACCUUGCGCUGAUUGAGCGGCCGAUAUCAGAUUAGCUAGUUGGUGAGGUAAAGGCUCACCAAGGCGACGAUCUGUAGCGGGUCUGAGAGGAUGAUCCGCCACACUGGAACUGAGACACGGUCCAGACUCCUACGGGAGGCAGCAGUGGGGAAUUUUUGGACAAUGGGGGCAACCCUGAUCCAGCCAUGCCGCGUGAGUGAAGAAGGCCUUCGGGUUGUAAAGCUCUUUCGGCCGGGAAGAAAUCGUAUGGGUUAAUACCCUGUGCGGAUGACGGUACCGGCAUAAGAAGCACCGGCUAACUACGUG
This 482-nucleotide ribosomal RNA is filed under the name uncultured bacterium. Its description in RNAcentral is "bacterial SSU rRNA". It matches the Rfam family "Bacterial small subunit ribosomal RNA", at positions 30 to 507 of the family's 1533-position model. The record is from RNAcentral.